Long non-coding RNA from Lagopus muta (rock ptarmigan), 1576 nucleotides. RefSeq lists it as uncharacterized. The record is from RefSeq and is a predicted model, not a curated record. The transcript has 4 exons. Lineage: Eukaryota; Metazoa; Chordata; Aves; Galliformes; Phasianidae.
GCCCCGUGCGCUGCACAUGGCCCCGGCCCCGGACGGAGAGCGGGAGGGCGGCGGGCAGGCCGGAGCCGGGUGCGCGGGGACGGGGAAAGGGCUGCGGGGCAGCCGGCGCUGCGGGCUCCCCGGGGUGGGGGCCGAGCGCUAGUCGCAGCUGCCCCGUCGCCUCCCGCGGUGCCCUGCCGCCCUGAUGGCGACCGGCGAGGCUGGGGAGCGGCCGCGGCACGGCAGGGACGGGCAGAGGAGUGCGGGCGUCAUUAAACAGUGAAUAGAGCUCAGUUAUGCUUUAAGAAGUCAAGAUGCAGCUGGCUGAACAGACAGAACAAGGCCACCACGUUUGGCUCAUCUGCCUGGUGCCAAUAGAGAGCAGCAGCCCGUUCUGAUUAUGGACUCAUGCAGAGGUGAAAUUGCUCCCUUGGAACCGGUACAAGAUACAUAGGCAUGCUGACACUUGAAAAGGACAGUAGCAGACAAGACAGACUGCAUGCAGGUGCACCACAAGUGGAAGAAGCUGCUGGAAUCCAUCUAGAGUAGACUGCUAAUCGGGAGUGCUUUGAGGUGACUUGUAAGCAAAGGCAAUGCCGUGACAGCCUUCAGAAGCCACGGCCUUUGGUUUAUUUUGGGAAUGCGACUUCUGAAAUCCUCUGAAAGUGAUAUCAGUAAAGUCUAGAUGACACAAACAGCUGGCUCCACUUCCGAUGGGAGCACUUGCCAGUAACCGAAGACCCUCCUUGUAUGCGCAGAAGGAAGCAGAGCCCAGAGGCACUGAAACCAUGCCAGCCCUGCUGAAGGUAGCACUUGAUCUGCAGAGGAGCCACCGGGAACAUGAGACUCCAACCGGAGCCAUUUACACGCUGCUGGAAUGUGGCCACAGGAACAAACACUGUGGUGUAAAUUCUGCCUGGGUGAAGGAGAGGCCGGAUUAUUGUCCCACAGAGGUCCCUCCCCACCUGCAGCCUGUCACCACUGGGCAUCCGCUGCUAAACAGCAGUAAGAAAGGUGAAGAACUGAUCCUGAGUUAUCCAUUUAAAAGCUGUGUGAGCUGCAAAAAUUGAAAUGAAAGAGGGGGUUAAUUGCACUGAACGUGCUCAGAGGAGGCAGAGCUAGGCUUUCCUGUGGAAAACUGCCAUAUGUGACUCUGCACGCAUUUAUCCUUCCUUUGACUUGUAAUGUGGAAAAAGUCAGUAAUCACAACAACUCAUGAUGUGUUGUCUCACUUGCAGGGACUGCUUGUGGCAUACAUGGAUUGACACAAAUCCUUAUCAAAACUGGAAUUAUUAUCUGCAAGUCACACUUCAGGUUUCUCAAAUAAAACUACAUUUGAAUUCUGCAGCUGUGGUACCUUCUGGCUUUUCAAAAGCAAGGAAGGCCACUUAUCCCUGUGGGAAGAUGCCCAAGCAGGGGACAGGAGGAAUGUGUUAUGGAAUUGCUUACAGUUCUGCUUACAGUUCUGCUUACAGUUCUGCUUACAAACUGCUUUGCUACUCGUGCGCCAUCUCUGUGGCUUCACACACCCUGUUAAGAAAACCACUUUUCUUUCUCCUUGUUUUCAAACUGAGAUUCAUUUACCACCUGUGACAAU